UUGUUAGCUCAGCUGGUAGAGCAGCGGACUCUUAAUCCGUUGGUCGCGGGUUCGAUCCCCUCACA
Molecule: transfer RNA, 65 nt
Filed under: chicken gut metagenome
Also listed under: 1 other name
Rfam family: tRNA
About the family: Transfer RNA (tRNA) molecules are approximately 80 nucleotides in length. Their secondary structure includes four short double-helical elements and three loops (D, anti-codon, and T loops).
Source: RNAcentral